CCUGCUCUUCUUUUUCAACAUCCAGUAUGUAAGGAAGCCAAAAAAAUGGAACACAUUAAAGGAGAGAAUAUCCCAAUGCACCUUCUUUUAUGGCUGCUGAGUGGCUGAAACUCUGGUGCCUGACUUGUAGAAAAAGCUAGUUCUGCUCAAACAUCCCUUCCCUUCAAAGCCCUGGCGGCAAAGGGACCAGCUCGAAGUUGUGUGAGCAGUUCUGAAGAAGUAAUCGAGGUUGGGAAGAUUUAAGCAGGGACUUAAAGAUCUGCAGUAAAAUCCUAUAAGUUGAACGGAAUCAUAGAGUGGGUGAGGCUGGAAGGGUCCUCUGGAGAUUUUCCAACAACCGCCCAAAACCCUGCUAUUCAAAGCAGGGCUUCCUAGGGCAGGUUGCUCAGGGUGAUGUCCAGUUGGAUUUUGAAUAUCUCCAAGAGUAGAGACUGCAGAACUCCUCUGGGAAACCUAUUCCAGUAUUUGACCACCUUUAUGCUCUGUUUGCAGAUUUAUGAGGCAUUUCACCUUCUGGAAGUCCUGAGGAAAUGGGUAACUGCAAGAUGCAACGGAACUGGAUUUUAGAAUGUCAUUGCAUUUUUGGAUAACUCCUGAGCUUUCAGUGGCUAUCUUGGAUGAAGCUGUCCAAAAUGAUGCGUGGCUGUGGUAAUUUUAACCCUCUUGAGGUAGGAGUAGUUAAAUGUUUCUUCUAACAGGCGUUACCUUGCUC
Nothoprocta perdicaria is the source of this 712-nucleotide long non-coding RNA. RefSeq lists it as uncharacterized. The record is from RefSeq and is a predicted model, not a curated record. The transcript is spliced from 5 exons. Lineage: Eukaryota; Metazoa; Chordata; Aves; Tinamiformes; Tinamidae.